This 167-nucleotide non-coding RNA is filed under the name human gut metagenome. RNAcentral describes it as "Lysine riboswitch". It matches the Rfam family "Lysine riboswitch aptamer". Rfam says of the family: Riboswitches are metabolite binding domains within certain messenger RNAs that serve as precision sensors for their corresponding targets. The record is from RNAcentral.
GCGAUAGAGGUGCAAAAUGCAUCAGUAGCGCGUUUUAGGCAGCCGACUGCCGCAAGAGCGCGUGAAAGGGUAUUUUGCCGAAAACCAUGCAUGUCGGUUGUGCGGCGGUUUGGGGGCGCAUUGCGAAAGCUGCGUCACUGUCAUCAGAAGUUGGUGGAGUGCUAUCG